Molecule: long non-coding RNA, 692 nt
Organism: Helianthus annuus (common sunflower)
Lineage: Eukaryota; Viridiplantae; Streptophyta; Magnoliopsida; Asterales; Asteraceae
Exons: 4
Source: RefSeq, a predicted model, not a curated record
ACCGCUGCACCCUUUCUUCUCUCAUUCAUCCACAUCUUGGCCCCAAAGAUGGCAUCUCUUUUUUAGUGCAAAUGUUUGGUGUUAUUCACCGAUCUCACAUCACAAAUGGGUCUGGCUAAUCAUUUAGGAGUAGACUAUAGCAUGUUGAUUGUUCAUGGCGUUUCAAGGGCUCAAUUGAGAAAGGCUAGUAGAUCUCAAACGUCUCAAUGAAACCCGUGAUUGGUGUUUUGUGAGGUGGAACAACCAUCCAAAAAUAAUGACAGACCAAUACCAUAUGGGUUUAACAAGCAACCACCUCUAGAUGUAAGUAGUUGGAACGGGUCUGUGUGAGCUACAUCUUCAGUUAACAAGACCUCCACCACCUUGCCCAGCUAAUGUUAAGGUUUCAUAUGAUAGUGAUGAUCUAUAUAUAUUAUCACCUAUAGCCUUUCGACAUGUACAUUCUGUUUUAUAUUGGUUGGAGCAACCAUCCAAAAACAAUGACAGACCAAUACUAUACGGGUUUUAAAAGCAACCACAUUUAGAUAUAAGUAGUUGGAAUGGGUCCGUGUAAGUUAACAGGACCUCCACCACCUUCCCAGCAAAUGUCCAGGUUUUCAGAUGAUUAUGAUUAUGAUGAUCUUUAUAUAUUAUUACAUAUAAACUUUCGAUAUGUACAUUUUCUUUUACAAAAUGAAAUAGAAAAUGAUUCA